Molecule: ribosomal RNA, 78 nt
Filed under: Bacillota bacterium
Lineage: Bacteria; Bacillati; Bacillota
Description: partial 16S ribosomal RNA
Rfam family: Bacterial small subunit ribosomal RNA
Source: RNAcentral
UUGAUGGAGAGUUUGAUCCUGGCUCAGGACGAACGCUGGCGGCGUGCUUAACACAUGCAAGUCGUGCGGAGAUGAGAC